GGGACGCGAACGGGAUUCCGUAAGGGGCCGGCGCAGCCUGAGGCGGGUAGCCUCCGGAAGCGUAUGGCACGGCGGAGGCCGGCGGAGCAGCGCCGUAAGGCUUUUCCUUGUGCGGCUUCUCGGACUGCACCCCGUAGGGCGCCGAAGGUGCGCCGCCGCCGUAGGGAGCGGCAUAUGGCGCGGCGGAGGCCGGCGGAGCAGCGCCGUAAGGCUUUUCCUUGUGCGGCUUCUCGGACUGCGCCCCGUAGGGCGCCGAAGGUGCGCCGCCGCAGUAGGGCGCGGCGUCGUAUGGCUGUUGUCCCGGCGCGGCAGCGUAGGGCUGCGACGGUGGGCCGGCGGAGGCCGGCGGAGCAGCGCCGUAAGGCUUUUCCUUGUGCGGCUUCUCGGACUGCGCCCCGUAGGGCGCCGAAGGUGCGCCGCCGCCGUAGGGCGCGGCGUCGUACGGCUGUUGUCCUGGCACGGCAGAGUAGGGCUGUUGGCCGGC
RNAcentral lists this long non-coding RNA (484 nucleotides) under Actinidia chinensis (golden kiwifruit). Its description in RNAcentral is "long non-coding RNA (ACHI_LNC004122)". The record is from RNAcentral. Lineage: Eukaryota; Viridiplantae; Streptophyta; Magnoliopsida; Ericales; Actinidiaceae.